AAUAGAUACCCCGGUAGUCCACGCCCUAAACUAUGUCGACUAGUUGUUGGGGGAGUCUGUCCCUCAGUAACGUAGCUAACGCGUGAAGUCGACCGCCUGGGGAGUACGGUCGCAAGAUUAAAACUCAAAGGAAUUGACGGGGACCCGCACAAGCGGUGGAUUAUGUGGAUUAAUUCGAUGCAACGCGAAGAACCUUACCUACCCUUGACAUGCCAGGAACCUCGCAGAGAUGUGAGGGUGCCCGAAAGGGAACCUGGACACAGGUGCUGCAUGGCUGUCGUCAGCUCGUGUCGUGAGAUGUUGGGUUAAGUCCCGCAACGAGCGCAACCCUUGCCAUUAGUUGCUACAUUCAGUUGGGCACUCUAAUGGGACUGCCGGUGACAAACCGGAGGAAGGUGGGGAUGACGUCAAGUCCUCAUGGCCCUUAUGGGUAGGGCUUCACACGUAAUACAAUGGCGCAUACAGAGGGCUGCAAACCCGCGAGGGGGAGCCAAUCCCAAAAAGUGCGUCGUAGUCCGGAUUGUUCUCUGCAACUCGAG
RNAcentral lists this ribosomal RNA (539 nucleotides) under uncultured bacterium. Its description in RNAcentral is "bacterial SSU rRNA". It matches the Rfam family "Bacterial small subunit ribosomal RNA", at positions 777 to 1316 of the family's 1533-position model. The record is from RNAcentral.